CUGGUAACACUCACACUUGAGCAGGUCCUCAAGCAGCAAGACUAGAAACUUUGAGAGCUCAGAGGGGCCUAAGGAAAGCUGACGAAUGAAUGCGGCAUCACCAUGGAUGGAGCCUGGAAAAGAACACAGGCAUCAGGGCAAUGAGUGUUGGGGAUUCACAGUAUAAACCAGGGCAAAGACGACACUUGCAGACUGAAGCCUGGAGAAAACCUCCUAAGUCCUUGUGGUGCAAGCAUGCACAAGUCAAGGGUCAUAACACCCUCCUGUGAGAGAUGCCCUCACCAUGCCCAGGGGAAAGAAGCUUCCGUAUCUUCAAGGCAAAGGACCUUCAGAAGAAUUGGAGCAAACAGGCCUUGCUAAGUUUACCUUAGUUGACUGCUCUCAUCUCGUAGUCCUUAACCCAUUGGUCACAGCCCUCCACUCUGAAUCCAGCCUAGCCUAAAAUAGGGGAUCUGUUUCUCUGAGUCUUCAUUUCUGAAUGAAGGCUGCUGCAUCACAUAAAACUUAUAUCACAUAAAUGUGUAUGCUUUUCUCUUGUUAAUCUGUGUCAGUUUC
Phyllostomus hastatus (greater spear-nosed bat) is the source of this 555-nucleotide long non-coding RNA. RefSeq lists it as uncharacterized. NCBI's taxonomy places the organism in Eukaryota, Metazoa, Chordata, Mammalia, Chiroptera, Phyllostomidae. The record is from RefSeq and is a predicted model, not a curated record. The transcript is spliced from 3 exons.